GGAGUUAGCCGGUGCUUCUUCUGCGAGUAACGUCACAGAUGUAAGGUAUUAACUUACACCCUUUCCUCCUCGCUGAAAGUGCUUUACAACCCGAAGGCCUUCUUCACACACGCGGCAUGGCUGCAUCAGGGUUUCCCCCAUUGUGCAAUAUUCCCCACUGCUGCCUCCCGUAGGAGUCUGGGCCGUGUCUCAGUCCCAGUGUGGCUGAUCAUCCUCUCAGACCAGCUAGGGAUCGUCGCCUAGGUGAGCCUUUACCUCACCUACUAGCUAAUCCCACCUGGGCUUAUCCAUCAGCGCAAGGCCCGAAGGUCCCCUGCUUUCCCCCGUAGGGCGUAUGCGGUAUUAGCAGUCGUUUCCAACUGUUAUCCCCCACAAAUGGGCAAAUUCCCAGGCAUUACUCACCCGUCCGCCGCUCGUCAUCUUCAAAAGCAAGCUUUUGAAAUGUUACCGCUCGACUUGCAUGUGUUAGGCCUGCCGCCAGCGUUCAAUCUGAGCCAUAGACUAACUAACUCUACGUACGUAGACGGGCGGUCGUCGGACGACGGGCGACUAAG
This 554-nucleotide ribosomal RNA is filed under the name uncultured bacterium. RNAcentral describes it as "partial 16S ribosomal RNA". The record is from RNAcentral.